RNAcentral lists this long non-coding RNA (582 nucleotides) under Phasianus colchicus (ring-necked pheasant). RNAcentral describes it as "lncRNA (ENSPCLG00000012039.1)". The record is from RNAcentral. Lineage: Eukaryota; Metazoa; Chordata; Aves; Galliformes; Phasianidae.
AUGUGGCUCACGCUGCUCUUCUUGGUACUCUCUCUCCCUUUUUAUGAUCAUGAGCAGGAUCUGUCAAGGAGGACUUUGCAGAGUUUGCAGGACCACUCAAAUUUCCUCUCCACUGAAGGAGAUGAAGAGGAGAUUUCUGAGGAAGCAAAGAGACUAGAAUCCAGAUUUGGACCCCAGUAUCAUAACACAGCCCUACAGAACUACAGUGGGGAACAGCCUUUGAAUGUGUCUGACAACGCUGAUUUGAUUCAAGGAAACACAGCUGAAGAAACCAGUAAAGAAGAUUUAAAAGAGACUGCAAUUCUUGCUGUGUCAUCUAUAGCUCUUGCCAUCUACCUAAUAUUUCUGGUUUGUUUUUGUGUGGCUUUUAGAAAAUGCAGAAUGCAAAAAGGGAAUACCUGUCAUACCUUUGGACGCUCAUCUGAACAGCAGAGAUCGGCAGAGGGUGGGAUGAAUGCGGACAGCUCACACAAGAAAUCCUCAGACUCAGAAACUGUGCCUCUUAUGAACUCGGUUGAUGAGCUAUUCACUGCUGUUGCAUCAAAUCGCAGUAGAACCUCUUUGUCUGAAGACUCAAAUUAA